RNAcentral lists this ribosomal RNA (468 nucleotides) under uncultured bacterium. RNAcentral's name for it is "partial 16S ribosomal RNA". It matches the Rfam family "Bacterial small subunit ribosomal RNA", at positions 28 to 507 of the family's 1533-position model. The record is from RNAcentral.
GACGAACGCUGGCGGCGUGCUUAACACAUGCAAGUCGAACGGAAAGGCCCUGCUUUUGUGGGGUGCGCGAGUGGCGAACGGGUGAGUAACACGUGAGUAACCUGCCAUUGACUUUGGGAUAACUUCAGGAAACUGGGGCUAAUACCGGAUAGGAGCUCCUGCUGCAUGGUGGGGGCUGGAUAGUUUCGGCUGUUGGUGAUGGACUCGCCGCGUAUCAGCUUGUUGGUGGGGUAGUGGCUUACCAAGGCUUUGAACGGUAGCAGGCCUGGGAGGGUGACCGGCCACGUUAGGCCUGGAAUGCGGCACGGACUCGUACGGGAGGCGACGGUGGGGUAGAGUGCGCAAGGGGCGGAGGCCUGGUGCAGCAACGCCGCGUGCGGGAUGACAGCCAGCGGGUUGUGUUCCGCAUUCGCCUGUGACGAGGCGUGAGUGACGGUAAUGGGUGAAGAAGCACCGGCUAACUACGUG